Cryptotermes secundus is the source of this 784-nucleotide long non-coding RNA. RefSeq lists it as uncharacterized. Lineage: Eukaryota; Metazoa; Arthropoda; Insecta; Blattodea; Kalotermitidae. The transcript has 2 exons. The record is from RefSeq and is a predicted model, not a curated record.
UCGGAAUGAUUAAAUCAAUCAGGAAUUCAAAAUCUGUUGGUGGCAUGCAUGUACUGUCCACUAAUUUCUUGGAACUCAAAGUCCCUUAAAAUAAACUCGCGCCGUUAUAUACAGCUCUACACAACGGCGUUUGCCACAGGAAGUCUUUCGCGUGAUGUCUUGUUCUAUGGCGGGGUGUGGCAUAUGCACAUACGCGCUGCGCCAGCUGCCUGUGAAGACAUGUUCCUACCAGUAGCUGCGAACAUGCAACCUGCUCAUUCAAAUGUUCGCCUGAACGCCGUAAUAUGCAAGUUGAAGCCCUCUUACGUUACAGAGGAAUGCGCAUGCGUGUACCCGGCUUAACACGUGAACUUUCAUUUUAUGAACAAUAUCUGGAAGCUAGAUAUGUUUGUAUGUGAAGGUGUAAAGGAAAGUUGUGCGUCGUCCUUAUGUAUCCGGUUACACUGGGACACUGGUCAAUUUGUACAUAGUUUCUGCGUCAAUUGAGAACUGGUGAAGUGAGUCUGAAUAAGGGUCAUUUGAAACGUGGAGGGAAGCAACGCUAUCUUAUCGGGGCACUGUACUGGACACACUGACGAAAGCCAUGGGAAACUCCACUUAUUAUAGGGACAAGGAGUCAGCUCAACUACAGUGACCAUGUACUCAGAAGUUGGGGUUUCAAAUCAUUCAACUCAAAGAAUGCAUUCUGGCGUUUGCUGAUAUUUAUGGAUUUUGUUGCAACCAAACACGGGAAUUGCGACUGUACAUAGAAAAUUUUAAGUAAUAUCCUGGCACACAACAGAGG